GACGAACGCUGGCGGCGUGCUUAACACAUGCAAGUCGAACGGAAAGGCCCUGCUUUUGUGGGGUGCUCGAGUGGCGAACGGGUGAGUAACACGUGAGUAACCUGCCCUUGACUUUGGGAUAACUUCAGGAAACUGGGGCUAAUACCGGAUAGGAGCGCCUGCUGCAUGGUGGGGGUUGGAAAGUUUCGGCGGUUGGGGAUGGACUCGCGGCUUAUCAGCUUGUUGGUGGGGUAGUGGCCUACCAAGGCUUUGACGGGUAGCCGGCCUGAGAGGGUGACCGGCCACAUUGGGACUGAGAUACGGCCCAGACUCCUACGGGAGGCAGCAGUGGGGAAUAUUGCACAAUGGGCGGAAGCCUGAUGCAGCAACGCCGCGUGCGGGAUGACGGCCUUCGGGUUGUAAACCGCUUUCGCCUGUGACGAAGCGUGAGUGACGGUAAUGGGUAAAGAAGCACCGGCUAACUACGUG
This 468-nucleotide ribosomal RNA is filed under the name uncultured bacterium. RNAcentral's name for it is "partial 16S ribosomal RNA". It matches the Rfam family "Bacterial small subunit ribosomal RNA", at positions 28 to 507 of the family's 1533-position model. The record is from RNAcentral.